UCUUAUUUUAAUUUUAUUGUUUUGCUCACGAAAUGGCCUUGAAACAAUAGCACUGAUUUACCAGCAGCAUAUUUGACUUAAGCUUCUGACAUAGUAAGUGAUCAAUCUUUUCCAGUAGUACAGUUUUCAUAUCCUUUACUGCAGGUUUCUUCCUUUUUAAAAAAAAAAUGAUACAGGAUCAAGGUACAAGCUAGAGAAGAAUGGAGUAAUUUUCAAUAUGAAUAUAAUGGUAGAGAUUAUUUGCAAUAUGAAUAAUGCUGACAGUCUGGAACUCAAGUAAUGUGAUCCUGUAUAAUAUUUAGGAUUGACUACCAAGACUUCACAGCAUAGAAGGCUGACAAUUAACUUUUUUCUUAUGGCAAAAUAAAAAUGCACAAAGCUAAUAAGUGUCUCUGGAACUAUUGUGAAAUGGCCCAACUAUGUUUGGUGUUCAGGGUUUGUUCACACUAUUCAAGGUAAAUUGAAUUUACUAGAUAAUUCAGAAAUUUCCCCAAUCUUGCUGCUCAACUCUCUUUCCCCUCUCUCCCUACAUCACAUAAAGACUGAUACCCUACAAUAAAUAUAAAUGAGGACAUGAAAGAGGACCAGCAGACACAAAAUGGAAAUACUCACAUUGAUGUGAUCAUAAGUCCAUUGGUAUAUUGGAUCUUGGAAACAGUGUCUGCUGAGCAGAACUACUAAUAAAUAUGAAGUUAGAGCUUUCUAAACCCUAAACUUUGGGUUUAGGGUUUAAAUCCUAAAUUUACCCUAAAUUAGGGUAAAUUCUAAAUUCCUGUGGCAUAAAAGAGGUAAUCAGUUUACUUUAAUAAAAUGGAAAAAAGCAAAUAACACAUUAACAUGUUGCCCCCUACUGUUAUAAACUGAGGAAUAACAGGGUUUUUUGUUUUUUGUUUUUUGUUAUACAUUUCAUUUAGUAUUAAUGAUAUGGUUUCUUUAAGUGCAGCAAGUUCUUCGUGGUUCAAUUAACAAUUUAUCAUUAUAUUUAGAACCACCUAGUGAUUUGUGAUAGAGACAGAACUGAAAUUUUUGCUUUGGAAAUCACUCCUCGUUUUAGACUUCUCUUUCCAUUU
RNAcentral lists this long non-coding RNA (1070 nucleotides) under Sarcophilus harrisii (Tasmanian devil). RNAcentral's name for it is "lncRNA (ENSSHAG00000030173.1)". The record is from RNAcentral. Lineage: Eukaryota; Metazoa; Chordata; Mammalia; Dasyuromorphia; Dasyuridae.